AGAGUUUGAUCCUGGCUCAGAACGAACGCUGGCGGCAGGCCUAACACAUGCAAGUCGAACGUGAAGCAUCCCUUCGGGGAUGUGGAAAGUGGCAGACGGGUGAGUAACGCGUGGGAACGUGCCCUUCGGUACGGAAUAGCUCCUGGAAACGGGAAUUAAUACCGUAUACGCCGGAAACGGGAAAGAUUUAUCGCCGAAGGAUCGGCCCGCGUCGGAUUAGCUUGUUGGUGGGGUAAUGGCCUACCAAGGCGACGAUCCGUAGCUGGUCUGAGAGGACGAUCAGCCACACUGGGACUGAGACACGGCCCAGACACCUACGGGUGGCAGC
Molecule: ribosomal RNA, 328 nt
Filed under: uncultured bacterium
Lineage: Bacteria
Description: bacterial SSU rRNA
Rfam family: Bacterial small subunit ribosomal RNA
Source: RNAcentral